CCUACGGGUGGCAGCAGUAGGGAAUAUUGCACAAUGGGGGAAACCCUGAUGCAGCAACGCCGCGUGGGGGAAGAAGGUUUUAGGAUUGUAAAGCUCUAUCGUGAGAGAAGAAAAUGACGGUAUCUCACGAAUAAGCACCGGCUAACUACGUGCCAGCAGCCGCGGUAAUACGGAGGGUGCAAGCGUUACUCGGAAUUACUGGGCGUAAAGAGAGCGCAGGCGGGCGUGCAAGUCAGAUGUGAAAUCCUGUGGCUUAACUCCAGAACUGCAUUUGAAACUGUGGUGCUAGAGUGCAGGAGAGGUAGGUGGAAUUCUUGGUGUAGCGGUUAAAUGCGUAGAUAUUAGGAGGAAUACUCGUUGCGAAGGCGACCUACUGGACCGUUACUGACGCUCAUGCACGAAAGCGUGGGGAGCAAACAGGAUUAGAUACCCCAGUAGUC
This 440-nucleotide ribosomal RNA is filed under the name uncultured bacterium. Its description in RNAcentral is "partial 16S ribosomal RNA". It matches the Rfam family "Bacterial small subunit ribosomal RNA", at positions 338 to 795 of the family's 1533-position model. The record is from RNAcentral.